RNAcentral lists this ribosomal RNA (503 nucleotides) under uncultured bacterium. RNAcentral describes it as "bacterial SSU rRNA". It matches the Rfam family "Bacterial small subunit ribosomal RNA", at positions 28 to 517 of the family's 1533-position model. The record is from RNAcentral.
GACGAACGCUGGCGGCGUGGAUUAGGCAUGCAAGUCGGACGGUAGGGCUUUAUCGUAAGAUAGAGUUUGAGAGUGGCGAACUGGUGAGUAACACGUAGGUUAUCUACCCUCAAGACGGGGACAACCCAGGGAAACUUGGGCUAAUACCGGAUGUGAGCAACUUUUAGUUGUUUGAAAGGUGGCGUAAGCUGUCGCUUGGGGAUGAGCCUGCGUCCUAUUAGUUAGUUGGUGAGGUAACGGCUCACCUAGGCAAUGAUAGGUAGGCGGCCUUAACGGGUGGUCGCCCACACUGGGAUUGAGAUACGGCCCAGACUCCUACGGGAGGCAGCAGUCGAGAAUAGUCUACAAUGGUCGGAAGACUGAUAGUGCGACGCCGCGUGAACGAUGAAUCCCUUCGGGGUGUAAAGUUCUUUUAUAUGUGAGCAGUGCUUCUUAUAUUAACAGUAUGGGGAGAGAGAUAUUAGCAUAUGAAUAAGCAACGGCUAACUCCGUGCCAGCAGCCG